GACGUAGGGGGCCAGCGUUGCUCGGAAUUACUGGGCGUAAAGGGUUCGUAGGCGGUGUGGCAAGUCGGGAGUGAAAUCUCUGGGCUUAACUCAGAGGCUGCUUCCGAAACUGCCGUGCUAGAGUGCGGGAGAGGCGAGUGGAAUUGCAGGUGUAGCGGUGAAAUGCGUAGAUAUCGGGAGGAACACCAGUGGCGAAGGCGACUACCUGGCCUGUUCUUGACGCUGAGGCGCGAAAGCUAGGGGAGCAAACGGG
This 253-nucleotide ribosomal RNA is filed under the name uncultured bacterium. Its description in RNAcentral is "partial 16S ribosomal RNA". It matches the Rfam family "Bacterial small subunit ribosomal RNA", at positions 524 to 776 of the family's 1533-position model. The record is from RNAcentral.